RNAcentral lists this non-coding RNA (42 nucleotides) under Actinopolymorpha alba DSM 45243. RNAcentral describes it as "L31-Actinobacteria ribosomal protein leader". It matches the Rfam family "L31-Actinobacteria ribosomal protein leader". Lineage: Bacteria; Bacillati; Actinomycetota; Actinomycetes; Propionibacteriales; Actinopolymorphaceae. The record is from RNAcentral.
CCGGCUCCGGUUCACGCCCGCUGCCGCGGACGACCCGGCGCC